GCCAGGCGUGGUGGCAGGCGCCUGUCGUCCCAGCUACUCGGGAGGCUGAGGCAGGGGGAUCACUUGAGCCCAGGAGGUCAAGGCUGCAGUGACCCACGAUCAUGCCACUGCACUCCAGCCUGGGUGACAGAGUGAGACCCUGUCUCAG
RNAcentral lists this non-coding RNA (148 nucleotides) under Gorilla gorilla gorilla (western lowland gorilla). The record is from Rfam by way of RNAcentral. Lineage: Eukaryota; Metazoa; Chordata; Mammalia; Primates; Hominidae.